RNAcentral lists this unclassified non-coding RNA (317 nucleotides) under uncultured fungus. RNAcentral's name for it is "partial contains small subunit ribosomal RNA, internal transcribed spacer 1, and 5.8S ribosomal RNA". The stretch from base 1 to 73 matches the Rfam family "Eukaryotic small subunit ribosomal RNA", at positions 1759 to 1831 of the family's 1831-position model. The record is from RNAcentral. Lineage: Eukaryota; Fungi.
UCAAACUUGGUCAUUUAGAGGAAGUAAAAGUCGUAACAAGGUUUCCGUAGGUGAACCUGCGGAAGGAUCAUUAACGAGUCUUGACAUGGGUUGUAGCUGGCCUUCCGGGGCAUGUGCACACCAUGCUCAAUCCACUCUACCCCUGUGCACUUACUGUGGGUUUCAGAGACGAAGCGGGCUUUGUGGCUCGGAGAGUUUCUGGGCCCAUGUCUUAUUACAAACGCUUCAGUUUUGGAAUGUAUUUUGCGACAUGAACGCAUUUAUGUACAACUUUCAGCAACGGAUCUCUUGGCUCUCGCAUCGAUGAAGAACGCAGC